GGGAAGCAGCCCAAGAUUGAAAGCUGGCGUCUUCGGCGUCCGCAUUGUAAUCUCAAGAAGUGUUUUCCGCUUCGGACCAUGCCUAAGUCCCUUGGAAAAGGGCAUCAUAGAGGGUGAUAAUCCCGUACAUGGCAUGGAGCGCCCGUAGCUUUGUGAUACACUUUCUAAGAGUCGAGUUGUUUGGGAAUGCAGCUCAAAAUGGGUGGUAAAUGCCAUCUAAGGCUAAAUAUUGGGGAGAGACCGAUAGCGAACAAGUACAGUGAUGGAAAGAUGAAAAGAACUUUGAAAAGAGAGUUAAACAGUACGUGAAAUUGCCAAAAGGGAAGGGUAGGAGGUCAGAGAUGCGGCCUGGGAUUCAGCCUUGCUUUUGCUUGGUGUUUUUCCCAGAUUGCAGGCCAACGUCGGUUUUGGGCACUGGAGAAGGGUAGGAGGAACGUGGCACCUCUCGGGGUGUGUUAUAGCCUCCUACUGGAUACAGCGACCGAGACCGAGGACAGCAGCGUACUCGCAAGAGCGGGCCUUCGGGCACCUUUACGCUUAGGGCGUUGGCAUAAUGGCCCUCUACCACCCGUCUUGAACCACGGGA
RNAcentral lists this ribosomal RNA (586 nucleotides) under Dirkmeia churashimaensis. Its description in RNAcentral is "partial large subunit ribosomal RNA". It matches the Rfam family "Eukaryotic large subunit ribosomal RNA", at positions 99 to 664 of the family's 3401-position model. Lineage: Eukaryota; Fungi; Basidiomycota; Ustilaginomycetes; Ustilaginales; Ustilaginaceae. The record is from RNAcentral.